UCCCUGACAGUCUGGUGGUUAGGACUUUGCACUUCCACUACAGGAGGGCACAGGUUCGAUCCCUGGUCAGGGAA
RNAcentral lists this transfer RNA (74 nucleotides) under Ovis aries (sheep). It matches the Rfam family "tRNA". Rfam says of the family: Transfer RNA (tRNA) molecules are approximately 80 nucleotides in length. Their secondary structure includes four short double-helical elements and three loops (D, anti-codon, and T loops). Lineage: Eukaryota; Metazoa; Chordata; Mammalia; Artiodactyla; Bovidae. The record is from Rfam by way of RNAcentral.